Molecule: ribosomal RNA, 292 nt
Filed under: uncultured bacterium
Lineage: Bacteria
Description: partial 16S ribosomal RNA
Rfam family: Bacterial small subunit ribosomal RNA
Source: RNAcentral
GUGCCAGCCGCCGCGGUAAUACGGAGGGGGCUAGCGUUGUUCGGAUUCACUGGGCGUAAAGGGUGCGUAGGUGGCGGGGUAAGUUGGAUGUGAAAGCUCGGAGCUCAACUCCGAAAUGGCAUUGGAAACUACCUUGCUCGAGGGUUGGAGGGGGGACUGGAAUGCUUGGUGUAGCAGUGAAAUGCGUAGAUAUCAAGCGGAACACCAGUGGCGAAGGCGAGUCCCUGGACAACUCCUGACACUGAGGCACGAAAGCUAGGGGAGCAAACAGGAUUAGAUACCCGUGUAGUCC